Physella acuta is the source of this 2046-nucleotide RNA transcript. It is a transcript of the gene named E3 ISG15--protein ligase HERC5, with no coding region annotated. NCBI's taxonomy places the organism in Eukaryota, Metazoa, Mollusca, Gastropoda, Physidae. The record is from RefSeq and is a predicted model, not a curated record.
AAUGGAGUUGCUCAAAUGUCAAAAAUGAAAAUGCUAGUGUAUGGAUGUGGAUUCAAUGGUUUUUCACAAAUUGCUGCAUUUUGUUUUGAUGAUUUAAAAUACAAGUAUGAAAGAAGAGGAUUUAAUAAGCAUUACAAGCAAACAUUGCCAAUCAACUUAUUUGAACUAAAAGAAAAUGAUAACCUUAUAAGUUUGGUUAACACUUGGUCACAGACAGCCAUGACCAUCAAAAAUAAUGAUACCUCCACUUCUUAUUUAAACGGAUUUAAGUGUAAUGACAAUAAUGAAGAUGAUAGUAUCUGUACUUAUACUAAUCAACUGGUUAUUGCUUCAACUGAUAAGGAUAUCCUCCUAAAAAGUUAUUCAAAUCAACUUCCCUUUGGAAUAGUGGCAAAUGAUAACAGUUCACCUCAGGCAGUUAACAUUAUAGGAGCUGAAUCUUUAACAUUAAUCGCUGGAGAUCAUCUAGAUUUCCAUGCUGUUUAUGAUGGUUCCAAGUUUGGAAAACUUACUAUUUCUUAUACGGGAGAUGACAAUGGACAAAAUGGAAUAUAUUUCAUUCAAAAAAUCAUCAACACAAGAAUUUUAAUCAAAGAAGUGAGCUGUGGUAAAGAGCAUGUAUUGUUAUUGACGAACUGUGGGACUCUUUUUAGUUAUGGAAUAGGGAGUAGAGGACAACUUGGCCAAAGUUCAGUUGAUACAAAAAAAGUUCCGACUUUGCUGGAUGCACUAAAUGGAAUAGAAAUUAGAAAAAUUUCUGCUGGCGGUUGGCAUUCAACUGCAAUAUCAGAUGUCGGUGACUUGUAUGUUUGGGGAUGGAAUGAUUGUGGUCAGCUAGGACUUGCUGCAUAUAAAGAAAAUGUAUUAACCAAUGUUCAGACAGAGCCACAGUAUGUUCACUUUUCUGACGAAUGCUGUAUGAAGUCCGUUGCUUGUGGUUCAAGACACACUGUCAUAUUAUUAGGUAGUCCAAACUGGCGAAAGAGUGCGUUUUGAGGUCAUUUUUGUGGCUUUCAAAAAAAAAAAAAUCUCACUACUUCUAGCAGGUGAGUGCUAUAGUAUAAGAAUAAAGUUUGUAUGUCAAUAAAGUUUAAGUCUUCUUCUGUCGAAAUCUUGUGCUUUUAUAUCUGUAAGUUACAGAUAUAAAAACACAUGUUUGAAUGUGUGUAGUUAUAUUUGUUUGAAUAGUAUCGGUUACGUAAAAAAUUGACCGUUUUGCGAGUACCGAUCGACUACAUACUGUUUCGUUUGGUCGCGGCUUAGCAUCGUAGAAACAUAAUCGUAAUGUCCUUUGAAAGGGCGAAAUCUAGCCUAUCGUUUGAUGUAUAAAUUAAAAUAAUAAUGUCUUUAUUUAUUUUUAAGAAAGUACUCAAUUUUUUAUAGCUAGUUUCUAAGUUUGUGUUGUAAAUUCACUUAUUUCUCAUUUACGGCCGCGAAGCCGUGCCCUCACUAAACAAUUAUCCCUUGAGUCGACUUUCAGCCCCCAGUGAGUAGCUCGCUGAACGGUUUUAAGGGUUGACGACUGAUGAUGCUAAACGGAUUUUUACCCUUGUUAUAGCCUUCAAACAAGUUGAUGUUGAGAACCACAGUAUGGCAUCUUCAUCACUGAAUAUCUCAACCAGUGUGGCACAAGCAACGAAUAUUUCAUUCAGUAGACCUACUAUUAAAAAUAUAAUAUAAGGGAAGAAGGCCAAGCUACCCCCCCCCCCCUACAAUUCUCAAAAAUAUAUCACUCACUCUUGGUAACUUGAUGCUACCCAAGAUCAAUGAUAAGGGAAACAAGACUUAAAAAGAAUUGGAGUUGUGGUUUUAAAAAAAUGUUCCCCCACAGCAGUUAUCAACCCUAUAGGUUUGUAAAGAAACCAAAGCAUGUGGCAACUGCAGCAUCACCUGUGGGGACCAAGUCUUUAUUAGGCUACAUUACAACUCUACUUAAUUUAGAUUCUCUUGCACUAUAUAAAUGUGGCAUUUAUAAAAAUAAUAUUUUAACUCUUGUGAUUUUUGGAAAUAAUGAACACAUUCUUCCUGUUAAUGUUACCGCAAUAG